Molecule: ribosomal RNA, 658 nt
Filed under: Serratia sp. (in: enterobacteria)
Lineage: Bacteria; Pseudomonadati; Pseudomonadota; Gammaproteobacteria; Enterobacterales; Yersiniaceae
Description: bacterial SSU rRNA
Rfam family: Bacterial small subunit ribosomal RNA
Source: RNAcentral
CGGCGGACGGGUGAGUAAUGUCUGGGAAACUGCCCGAUGGAGGGGGAUAACCACUGGAAACGGUGGCUAAUACCGCAUAACGUCUACGGACCAAAGAGGGGGACCUUCGGGCCUCUUGCCAUCGGAUGUGCCCAGAUGGGAUUAGCUAGUAGGUGGGGUAACGGCUCACCUAGGCGACGAUCCCUAGCUGGUCUGAGAGGAUGACCAGCCACACUGGAACUGAGACACGGUCCAGACUCCUACGGGAGGCAGCAGUGGGGAAUAUUGCACAGUGGGCGCAAGCCUGAUGCAGCCAUGCCGCGUGUGUGAAGAAGGCCUUCGGGUUGUAAAGCACUUUCAGCGAGGAGGAAGGCCAAUAGCUUAAUACGCUGUUGGAUUGACGUUACUCGCAGAAGAAGCACCGGCUAACUCCGUGCCAGCAGCCGCGGUAAUACGGAGGGUGCAAGCGUUAAUCGGAAUUACUGGGCGUAAAGCGCACGCAGGCGGUUUGUUAAGUCAGAUGUGAAAUCCCCGCGCUUAACGUGGGAACUGCAUUUGAGACUGGCAAGCUAGAGUCUCGUAGAGGGGGGUAGAAUUCCAGGUGUAGCGGUGAAAUGCGUAGAGAUCUGGAGGAAUACCGGUGGCGAAGGCGGUCCCCUGGACGAAGACUGACGCUCAG